RNAcentral lists this long non-coding RNA (2277 nucleotides) under Gossypium raimondii (Peruvian cotton). RNAcentral's name for it is "long non-coding RNA (GRAI_LNC003471)". The record is from RNAcentral. Lineage: Eukaryota; Viridiplantae; Streptophyta; Magnoliopsida; Malvales; Malvaceae.
AGGAAUACGGGUGAGUAGGUAUGGUCCGCAGGUAUCUCAUCUUUUAUUUGCUGAUGAUUGCAUACUGUUUGGAGAGGCAACGAGGAGGGGUGCAAACGUCAUAAAGGAUAUUCUGUGUGAAUUCAAAGUUUGCUCGGGACAAUGUGUAAAUUUCGAUAAAUCAACGGUAUUUUUCAGUAAAAACACGUUGGAGGAGGAUAGGAGACAGGUGGUCAAUGUGUUGGGGGUACGUAGGACAAGUGAACCUGAAAGAUAUUUAGGGCUACCCAAUAUGGUGGGGCGAAAGAAAAAAGAAGCUUUUCAGAGUUUAAAUGAUCGAAUAAAAAAACGUAUUGAUAACUGGAGUAACAGGUUUUUAUCACAAGGAGGGAAAGAAAUUUUUAUUAAGGCCAUUCUGCAAGCUAUUCCGACUUAUUCUAUGGCAUGCUUCUUAUUGCUGAGAGCUCUUUGCGAUGAAAUGGAGAGUAUUAUAGCAAGAUUCUGGUGGCAGAAAGGAGGGGGCAAAAGGGGAAUUCAUUGGUGCACUUGGAAAAACCUUUGUUUGCUAAAAGAAAAUGGUGACUUAGGUUUUCGAGAUCUUAGUCAAUUUAAUAUUGCGUUAUUAGCUAAACAAGGUUGGCGUCUCAUUAAUUUUCCAAAUUCUUUAUUAGCCAGAGUUUUGAAAGCUAAAUAUUUCCCAAAGUCAAGUUUCUUAAAUGCAAAGUUGGGGAAUUUACCUUCAUUUACCUGGAAGAGCAUCUGGGCAGCAAGAGGACUUCUCCAAAGAGGAUUGGGUUGGAGAGUUGGUAAAGGUAAUAGCAUUUCUAUCUGGGAAGACAACUGGAUUCAGGGGAUCGAUAAGGUGGAUGAACAUAAUAGAACAAACAGAAGGGAACUACAGUUAGUUUCAAACCUCAUUGAUAAUUCAAGCAGAAAAUGGAAGUCAGACUUAAUUAAUAGUACCUUUCAAGAAGAUACUGCUCGGAAGAUUUUACAAAUUCCCCUGGCAGAGACCGAACAUGAGGAUAUUCAAGUGUGGAGUGGAGAACUAUCUGGUGAGUUUUCAGUACGUAGUGCCUAUAAAUUAUUACAAGAUGCUUCUACAGCCAAUGACUACUUACUACAGACCGAAAUAAAAAAUUUUACAAAAAAUUAUGGAGCCAACAAUUGCCUUCAAAAAUUGCAAUUACAAUUUGGAGGAUUUCAUGGGAUUAUAUCCCUCAUCUUGGUAAUCUCAAUUUGAGGAGGGUCAUUUCAACUGCCUGUUGUCCACGGUGUUAUUCUGGAGUAGAAGAGAGUCUUCAUGUUUUCCGAGAGUGUCCUUUCACAAGAGAAGUGUGGCAAUCAUUAAAUUUAUCAUGGGUCAUGGAGAAUACGAGUCAGAAUACAUGGGAGUGGCUAACCUGGGUUUUCAAGAACAGCAACUAUUACCAAUGUCGGCUUUUCUGCUAUGCGUUAUGGUUGAUAUGGUCCUUUAGAAAUAAACUCAUUCACGAGGGGAAAAAUUCAACAGGAAGGGGAUUAGCUCAGAAUAUUCAAAGACAUAUGGCAGAAUAUGAAGGAAUAAAUGCUGUGAAGAAAACUGAGAAAAUUUUCAGGAGUCACAGAAUACAGGAAAACGUACCGAGAAUAUCGAUCAAAUUUGAUACAGCACUGGACAGUAGAACCUCUAAAUCAACGACUGGAUUAGUAGGUUGGGAUAUGAGGGGAAAUCUACUGGUGUUAAAAACGGUUAUCCACAUAAAUGUCCCCUCACCAUUCGCAGCAGAGGCAUAUGCAUGUUUAGAAGGCAUGAAAUUAGGGAUUGCAUUAGGAUCUCAGUCAGUUAGAAUUAUGGGAGACUCAAAAACCGUCAUAAAGAAGAGCAAGGCGACUUCAACAGACAGAUCGGUAAUAGGUGCCAUUAUAAAAGAUAUUCAGAACAAGAAAUCCUUUUUUCAAGAUCUUACUUUUAAGCACAUCCAUAGAUCAGAAAACACACAUGCACAUGGUCUAGCAAAGAAAGCUCUUGCGAAAGAAGAAAACAUUUACCUGAUAGGAGAAGAACUGGAACGUCAUAUUUCAACCUUGGAUGAAGAUUGGCAAAGAAAUCCGGAUUGAAGAAAUGGGUGAAAGAGCAACAUCCAAUAUAGAUAGCUUAAUGAUGUUUAAAUCUGUGGGGAAGAGCUAUCGACACAACAGAUGGGACCUUGGAAAUGACUCUUCAAUAGCCUUUAUGGUUUCCAGCUGUUCUGAUUAUUGACUGGGAUAGGAUUUUGUUCGGUUGAUUUUAAUUUCAUUUAAUGCUUUUGUUUUUCU